Molecule: long non-coding RNA, 725 nt
Filed under: Mus spicilegus (steppe mouse)
Lineage: Eukaryota; Metazoa; Chordata; Mammalia; Rodentia; Muridae
Description: lncRNA (ENSMSIG00000006863.1)
Source: RNAcentral
GUUUGGCAGUUGGUGUCAAGUAUGAGAGCAGUGUAUCAUGGUCCUGGACAGUUAGACAGCAGCAAGGGUAUGAUGUAUAAAGAGUUUCAAUUAUUUUGAAACCAAGAAAGAGUGAAGGAGGCAGGGAAGAGAGAACCACCUUUGGAUAAGUGCUUAAUAAAGGUGUGCCUCACAACUACAGCAAAAGUUAGGAAGCGUGAGACUGCCUUCCCUAGGAAGUAAACUUCUUAGCAUACCGAUCAGAAGAGUUUCCUCUUUGUCUUCAAUAGAUCAAUACCACUAAAGCUUCCAAAGCAUCUAUGCAACAGAGGGCUCCAUUUCAGAAUUCACCCAUGGGUUGGCUUCAAACACACCGGUCAAUACCUGCAGCUCAUCAAUUUCACAGGUCCUCUGACCAUACCUUACAUGGAUCUAAUAUCAAGAGCUCUGUCGAGAAAACUGUAAACAAGAGUUUACCUACAGAAGCGCUUCACCUGCGGCUGCACUCAGAACAUCUCGCAGAGCCAUCUGGGUGCCAUCCUUGAAUCUGGAAGACAGAAAAAGGCAUCAGGGAGCUGUUUACUAUACUUUGAACACCUGGCCUCUACUAGAACAUUGUCUGAUUUUAAACUUGUUAUCACGCCACAGAGAAUUCCAACACAGCUACCAGGUAAGGCCCAUUUAUUAAGGCAAAGUAACAAAGAAUCCCCUUGAUACUGAGAAUGACAGAACAAACUUCUGGACCU